Molecule: long non-coding RNA, 1313 nt
Filed under: Aotus nancymaae (Ma's night monkey)
Lineage: Eukaryota; Metazoa; Chordata; Mammalia; Primates; Aotidae
Description: lncRNA (ENSANAG00000039160.1)
Source: RNAcentral
AAUCCAAGAUAAUUGUUUCUUCUCUGUCAUUACCCCUUCACAUCCUCUCCCCCUUGACAGGUGUCCUUUAAUCAACUGAUGAAGGGUCUGGGACAGAAACCUCUUUACACCUACCUCAUUGCAGGGGGUGACAGGUCUGUGGUGGCCUCUAGGGAGGGGACAGAAGAUAGCGCCUUGCACGGGAUUGAGGAACUGAAGAAGGUGGCUGCUGGGAAGAAGAGGGUGAUUGUUGUUGGCAUUUCUGUGGGACUCUCUGUGAGUAGAAAGAUGGGUUGAGUGGAUGAAUUUUAGAGAGAAGAAGUGAGUGGGAAUGGAAUAGCAUGGGAGAUAGAUCAGUGAGGUUGGUGCUAGAAAGCAGGAAGUUUGCUCAAGGAAUUUUGGUUUUCAUUUCACUAACUUGGAUCGAGUUGUAUGACUGUGGGAAGAUGGGAAGGGUUUCUAUUUCAGAAUAACUGUAUCAAUCAAUCAGCAACCAAGAUAGGUGGACUAGCCCAGGGGUAAGCGAACUAUACUGGCUGGCCAAUGCAGCCAGCUGCCUGUUUUUAAAAAAAAUUUUUUUUUUGAGACAGAAUCUCACUCUGUCACCCAGGCUGCAGUGCAAUGGCGUGAUCUCAGCUCGCUGCAGCCUCCACCUCCCAUGCUCAGAUGUGAUUCUGUGCAUGAGCUGCCUGGGGAAUGUUUCAGAAAAAUAAAGAUUCUUAGUUCCUUGUGUAAGAAGUCUGGUUUUGUAGGUUUGGAGUAUGGCCCUGAAAUUCCUAUUUUUUGAAAGCAUCCCUAGAGAUUCUGAUGCAGAGCCAGAAUUGGGGAACUCUGCUAAAUAAACCACUGGAUUGGGCCACCUGACAAAGCUGAGGGCUUCCUGACACCAGAGGGAUGCGGCAGAGGCUUGUUGAUGAUUUUAGAGCAGCUUUUUGUAUUUAGCGCUGGUCUUGGGAAGGGGUACAAGCGGGUUUUUCGAAGGUGCUUUUCUACCUCCCAGAUUCUAGGCUGUAGUAUAAUUCAUGAGAAGUUGUAAAUGAAUGUGAAAUACCCGAACCCUGAUCCUUUUCAUGGAGGGCCCUCCUUCACCAAAAUGUAUCUGCUGCAGUGGAUGCUAAUUUCAGGCCCUAUGACUAAGUGAAAUGAAGAAUUUCAAACAGUGUAGGCGUGGAGAUCUUCCAGUUGUUCCUUAAAUCAGUGGCUCCCAAACUUGGCUGAUUUUCAGAGUCAUCUGGGAAGCUUUCUAAAAAUACAGAUUUUGGGGCUCCACUCCAGAACUACUGAAUCUGAAUCUUAGGGUGGAUGUGGUACCAGAAAUGGAUGGUUAUUAAAAA